GUUUCGUUGUUUACAAUACAACAUCUUCAGAGCAAUCUAAAUGAUGUUGUAUUGUAAACAACGAAACG
Molecule: non-coding RNA, 68 nt
Organism: Paramuricea clavata
Lineage: Eukaryota; Metazoa; Cnidaria; Anthozoa; Malacalcyonacea; Plexauridae
Source: the annotation of a GenBank genome assembly